Molecule: ribosomal RNA, 424 nt
Filed under: uncultured prokaryote
Description: bacterial SSU rRNA
Rfam family: Bacterial small subunit ribosomal RNA
Source: RNAcentral
UGGGGAAUCUUAGACAAUGGGGGCAACCCUGAUCUAGCCAUGCCGCGUGAGUGACGAAGGUCUUAGGAUCGUAAAGCUCUUUCGCCGGGGAUGAUAAUGACAGUACCCGGUAAAGAAACCCCGGCUAACUCCGUGCCAGCAGCCGCGGUAAUACGGAGGGGGUUAGCGUUGUUCGGAAUUACUGGGCGUAAAGCGCGCGUAGGCGGACUAUUAAGUCAGGGGUGAAAUCCCGGGGCUCAACCCCGGAACUGCCCAUGAUACUGGUAGUCUUGAGUUCGAGAGAGGUGAGUGGAAUUCCGAGUGUAGAGGUGAAAUUCGUAGAUAUUCGGAGGAACACCAGUGGCGAAGGCGGCUCACUGGCUCGAUACUGACGCUGAGGUGCGAAAGUGUGGGGAGCAAACAGGAUUAGAUACCCCCGUAGUCC